GUGCCAGCCGCCGCGGUCAUACGGAGGGUGCAAGCGUUAAUCGGAAUUACUGGGCGUAAAGCGCGCGUAGGCGGUUUAGUAAGUCGGAUGUGAAAUCCCCGGGCUCAACCUGGGAAUUGCAUUCGAUACUGCUUAACUAGAGUAUGGUAGGGGGAAGUGGAAUUCCGGGUGUAGCGGUGAAAUGCGUAGAUAUCCGGAGGAACAUCAGUGGCGAAGGCGACUUCCUGGACCAAUACUGACGCUGAGGUGCGAAAGCGGGGGGAGCAAACAGGAUUAGAUACCCUUGUAGUCC
RNAcentral lists this ribosomal RNA (292 nucleotides) under uncultured bacterium. Its description in RNAcentral is "partial 16S ribosomal RNA". It matches the Rfam family "Bacterial small subunit ribosomal RNA", at positions 505 to 796 of the family's 1533-position model. The record is from RNAcentral.